RNAcentral lists this ribosomal RNA (892 nucleotides) under uncultured bacterium. Its description in RNAcentral is "bacterial SSU rRNA". It matches the Rfam family "Bacterial small subunit ribosomal RNA", at positions 505 to 1402 of the family's 1533-position model. The record is from RNAcentral.
GUUUCAGCCGCCGCGGUAAUGCGUAGGGUGCAAGCGUUAAUCGGAAUUACUGGGCGUAAAGCGUGCGCAGGCGGUUAUGCAAGACAGAGGUGAAAUCCCCGGGCUCAACCUGGGAACUGCCUUUGUGACUGCAUGGCUAGAGUACGGUAGAGGGGGAUGGAAUUCCGCGUGUAGCAGUGAAAUGCGUAGAUAUGCGGAGGAACACCGAUGGCGAAGGCAAUCCCCUGGACCUGUACUGACGCUCAUGCACGAAAGCGUGGGAAGCAAACAGGAUUAGAUACCCUGGUAGUCCACGCCCUAAACGAUGUCAACUGGUUGUUGGGAGGGUUUCUUCUCAGUAACGUAGCUAACGCGUGAAGUUGACCGCCUGGGGAGUACGGCCGCAAGGUUGAAACUCAAAGGAAUUGACGGGGACCCGCACAAGCGGUGGAUGAUGUGGUUUAAUUCGAUGCAACGCGAAAAACCUUACCUACCCUUGACAUGCCAGGAAUCCUGAAGAGAUUUGGGAGUGCUCGAAAGAGAGCCUGGACACAGGUGCUGCAUGGCCGUCGUCAGCUCGUGUCGUGAGAUGUUGGGUUAAGUCCCGCAACGAGCGCAACCCUUGUCAUUAGUUGCUACGAAAGGGCACUCUAAUGAGACUGCCGGUGACAAACCGGAGGAAGGUGGGGAUGACGUCAGGUCAUCAUGGCCCUUAUGGGUAGGGCUACACACGUCAUACAAUGGCCGGGACAGAGGGCUGCCAACCCGCGAGGGGGAGCUAAUCCCAGAAACCCGGUCGUAGUCCGGAUCGUAGUCUGCAACUCGACUGCGUGAAGUCGGAAUCGCUAGUAAUCGCGGAUCAGCUUGCCGCGGUGAAUACGUUCCCGGGUCUUGUACACACCGCCCGUCAAAC